RNAcentral lists this long non-coding RNA (240 nucleotides) under Oryctolagus cuniculus (rabbit). RNAcentral describes it as "lncRNA (ENSOCUG00000036587.1)". Lineage: Eukaryota; Metazoa; Chordata; Mammalia; Lagomorpha; Leporidae. The record is from RNAcentral.
CUCAUGCAGAAUAACCCUCAGGAUCCAGCAGGAGAGAUGGGAACCAGCCCCCCAAGUUGCUGUUCUGCUUUCAGCCAGCAUCCUGAGCUGAAAUCUCAAAGGAUCACCAAAGCCAUGAGGAAGGCCUGGGGCAGAUGUGGAGAUCUGGAAUGCAGCAAAAGGCAUCAAAGUGCGAAUAUAGAGCAAAGGGGUGAAAACGAAGCAUGUGGGUGGAGCUGGCGUUGUGGCUUCACAGAGUAA